Molecule: ribosomal RNA, 440 nt
Filed under: uncultured bacterium
Lineage: Bacteria
Description: partial 16S ribosomal RNA
Rfam family: Bacterial small subunit ribosomal RNA
Source: RNAcentral
CCUACGGGGGGCAGCAGUGGGGAAUAUUGCACAAUGGGGGAAACCCUGAUGCAGCGACGCCGCGUGAGUGAAGAAGUAAUUCGUUAUGUAAAACUCUAUCAGCAGGGAAGAAAAUGACGGUACCUGAGUAAGAAGCCCCGGAUAACUACGUGCCAGCAGCCGCGGUAAUACGUAGGGGGCAAGCGUUAUCCGGAUUUACUGGGUGUAAGGGGAGCGUAGACGGGAGUGCAAGUCUGGAGUGAAAGGCGGGGGCUCAACCACCGGAGUGCGCUGGAAACUGGACGGCUUGAGUGCAGGAGAGGUAAGUGGAAUUCCUAGUGUAGCGGUGAAAUGCGUAGAUAUUAGGAGGAACACCAGUGGCGAAGGCGGCUUACUGGACUGUAACUGACGUUGAGGCUCGAAAGCGUGGGGAGCAAACAGGAUUAGAUACCCCAGUAGUC